GUGCUUGCUUCAGCAGCACAGAAACUAAAACUGGAAUGAUACAAAGAAGAUUAGCAUGGCCUCUUUGUAAGGAUGACAUGCAAAUUCAUGAAGUGUUCCAUAUUUUU
Molecule: small nuclear RNA, 107 nt
Filed under: Catagonus wagneri (Chacoan peccary)
Lineage: Eukaryota; Metazoa; Chordata; Mammalia; Artiodactyla; Tayassuidae
Source: RNAcentral